Molecule: ribosomal RNA, 305 nt
Filed under: uncultured bacterium
Lineage: Bacteria
Description: bacterial SSU rRNA
Rfam family: Bacterial small subunit ribosomal RNA
Source: RNAcentral
UUAGCCUACGGGAGGCAGCAGUGGGGAAUAUUGCACAAUGGGGGAAACCCUGAUGCAGCGAUGCCGCGUGGAGGAAGAAGGUUUUCGGAUUGUAAACUCCUUUUAUCAGGGACGAUAAUGACGGUACCUGAAGAAAAAGCUCCGGCUAACUACGUGCCAGCAGCCGCGGUAAUACGUAGGGAGCGAGCGUUGUCCGGAAUUACUGGGUGUAAAGGGUGCGUAGGCGGGCUGUUAAGUCAGCGGUCAAAUGUCGGGGCUCAACCCCGGCCUGCCGUUGAAACUGGCGGCCUCGAGUGGGCGAGAAG